AGGGUUUGAUCAUGGCUCAGAACGAACGCUGGCGGCAGGCCUAACACAUGCAAGUCGAGCGCGCCUUCGGGCGAGCGGCGGACGGGUUAGUAACGCGUGGGAACGUGCCCAGAUCUACGGAAUAGCCACUGGAAACGGUGAGUAAUACCGUAUACGCCCUUCGGGGGAAAGAUUUAUCGGAUUUGGAUCGGCCCGCGUUAGAUUAGGUAGUUGGUGGGGUAACGGCCUACCAAGCCUACGAUCUAUAGCUGGUUUUAGAGGAUGAUCAGCAACACUGGGACUGAGACACGGCCCAGACUCCUACGGGAGGCAGCAGUGGGGAAUCUUGGACAAUGGGGGCAACCCUGAUCCAGCCAUGCCGCGUGAGUGAAGAAGGCCCUAGGGUCGUAAAACUCUUUCGCCUGUGAUGAUAAUGACAGUAGCAGGUAAAGAAACCCCGGCUAACUCCGUGCCAGCAGCCGCGGUAAUUC
This 470-nucleotide ribosomal RNA is filed under the name uncultured bacterium. RNAcentral describes it as "bacterial SSU rRNA". It matches the Rfam family "Bacterial small subunit ribosomal RNA", at positions 8 to 526 of the family's 1533-position model. The record is from RNAcentral.